RNAcentral lists this ribosomal RNA (384 nucleotides) under uncultured bacterium. RNAcentral describes it as "bacterial SSU rRNA". It matches the Rfam family "Bacterial small subunit ribosomal RNA", at positions 30 to 414 of the family's 1533-position model. The record is from RNAcentral.
AUUGAACGCUGGCGGCAUGCCUUACACAUGCAAGUCGAACGGCAGCACGGGGGCAACCCUGGUGGCGAGUGGCGAACGGGUGAGUAAUACAUCGGAAUGUACCCAGUAGUGGGGGAUAACUAGUCGAAAGAUUAGCUAAUACCGCAUACGCACUAUGGUGGAAAGCGGGGGAUCGCAAGACCUUGCGCUGAUGGAGCGGCCGAUAUCAGAUUAGCUAGUUGGUGAGGUAAAGGCUCACCAAGGCGACGAUCUGUAGCGGGUCUGAGAGGAUGAUCCGCCACACUGGGACUGAGACACGGCCCAGACUCCUACGGGAGGCAGCAGUGGGGAAUUUUGGACAAUGGGGGCAACCCUGAUCCAGCCAUGCCGCGUGAGUGAAGAAGG